UUGAUUUGGUAGAAGUCUGUUGGAACACAGCGCCUUAGAGGGUGAGAGCCCCGUAAAACCUAUUCAAUUGUAAAAUACUUUCAAAGAGUCGAGUUGUUUGGGAAUGCAGCUCUAAGUGGGAGGUAAAUUCCUUCUAAAGCUAAAUAUUGGCGAGAGACCGAUAGCGAACAAGUACAGUGAUGGAAAGAUGAAAAGAACUUUGAAAAGAGAGUGAAAAAGUACGUGAAAUUGUUAAAAGGGAAGGGUACUAAAUCAGACGUGGGUGUUGUGUUCAACUUUGUCUCGGCAAAGUGUACUCGCAACAUCUAGGCCAAGGUGGGAUAGUUGGGCAGGAAAAAGCUUGAGGAAAGUGGCUCUUCGGAGUGUUAUAGCCUUUUGUAAUACUGCCUCGGCUGUCUCAGGACUGCGCAUUUUGCUAGGAUCUUGGCGUAAUGAUUUUGUACCGCCCGUCUUGAAACACGGACCAAGGAGUCUAACGUCUAUGCGAGUGUUUGGGUGUAAAACCCGUACGCGUAAUGAA
RNAcentral lists this ribosomal RNA (520 nucleotides) under Geotrichum sp. RNAcentral's name for it is "LSU rRNA". It matches the Rfam family "Eukaryotic large subunit ribosomal RNA", at positions 167 to 723 of the family's 3401-position model. The record is from RNAcentral. Lineage: Eukaryota; Fungi; Ascomycota; Dipodascomycetes; Dipodascales; Dipodascaceae.